GUGGAUAUAGCUCAGUGGUAGAGCACAUGCUUAGCAUACAUGAGGUCCUGGGUUCAAUCCCUAGUACCUCCU
Molecule: transfer RNA, 72 nt
Filed under: Camelus bactrianus (Bactrian camel)
Lineage: Eukaryota; Metazoa; Chordata; Mammalia; Artiodactyla; Camelidae
Also listed under: 2 other names
Rfam family: tRNA
About the family: Transfer RNA (tRNA) molecules are approximately 80 nucleotides in length. Their secondary structure includes four short double-helical elements and three loops (D, anti-codon, and T loops).
Source: Rfam by way of RNAcentral